This is a long non-coding RNA of Astatotilapia calliptera (eastern happy), 720 nucleotides long. NCBI's taxonomy places the organism in Eukaryota, Metazoa, Chordata, Actinopteri, Cichliformes, Cichlidae. The record is from Ensembl.
CUGAGCUAUUCUGCUUACGUUCUAUGACACGGCUUACUUGGAAGUGUGGGCCUUAGUUUUGCGCCAAGCUACGUGAACUGAAGUGCUGCUGUUUUGCCUUGCUGUGCUUUUAUCGUCUGUUCCCGUUGUGAGAUUUCUUUCCCCGCUGCUGUCAGCUUUUACAGUGGACGUCGGCGUGGACAACGGCCAUAUGCAUGCCGGUUAUCGGAGUCAGCUGGCGUGCAUAUUGAUUGACUGUUAACUUGUCGUCGUGUGACGGCAAGUUGGAGCAGUACGGCGAUUCCGUUUGCUCCAGAUUUUAGAGUUUUAUCCAGAUUAUGCGGAGUGCCGACGUGGAGGAGACUAGGGUGCCUUGGUGGUGGGAUCCCUUGAGUGUACACACCUGCCUUGUUUAGUUUAUUAGUGUGAGUGUGUGAUAGUGUGUUGCACUUGUGUUUUGGGUGUGUUUUCUUUCUUUAGUUUGUGUGUGGCAUCCCUGCCCCUCCACUGGUAAGCCUCAGCUCUGAAUACCUUUUUAAGCAUAUUUGUACUUGAAUAUUUAUGAUUGUGCUUUUAUAUGGUGUUUUAAAUAAUUAUUAAUAAAUUGUGAAUUUGUUGAUCAUUGAACCUCGUCUCUGGAUUGAGUAUAGCGAACCUAAGUGCCUUUCUGGUGAUUUAGUGUUACUUUCAGUAUUCUCUGGGUGAAAUUCCCAGGGUGGCGUUGUCUUUUUAAAACUGCAA